This is a long non-coding RNA of Phyllostomus discolor (pale spear-nosed bat), 168 nucleotides long. RefSeq lists it as uncharacterized. NCBI's taxonomy places the organism in Eukaryota, Metazoa, Chordata, Mammalia, Chiroptera, Phyllostomidae. The transcript is spliced from 3 exons. The record is from RefSeq and is a predicted model, not a curated record.
AUGACAUUUAUUGUAAAUUGUUCUUGGUCUCCAUGCAGGAUGCUGUGUUCUCGGCUGCUUUGUGCGUGUCUGUGGCUGGUAACUGGCUACGCACACGAUGACGACUGGAUCGACCCCACCGACAUGCUCAACUAUGACGCAGCCUCGGGAACGAUGAGGAAACCUCAG